This 836-nucleotide ribosomal RNA is filed under the name Minisyncoccota bacterium. Its description in RNAcentral is "bacterial SSU rRNA". It matches the Rfam family "Bacterial small subunit ribosomal RNA", at positions 1 to 862 of the family's 1533-position model. Lineage: Bacteria; Bacillati; Minisyncoccota. The record is from RNAcentral.
UUUAGUUAGAGUUUGAUCCUAGCUCAGGAUGAACGCUGGCGACAUGGAUAAGGCAUGCAAGUCGAACGGAAACAUUUGAGAUUAUAUCAAUUUUGUUUUAGUGGCGAACGAGGUAGUAAUAUAUAGGUACGUCCCCCAAAGUCGAGAAUAACUCAUCGAAAGAUGAGCUAAUACUCGAUAGUCUCUACGGAGUAAAGUUUUAACGCUUUGGGAACGGUCUGUACGAUAUCAGCUAGUUGGUAGGGUAAUGGCCUACCAAGGCAACGACGUCUAGAGGAGCUGAGAGGCUGACCCUCACCGAUGGAACUGAGACACGGUCCAUACACCUACGGGUGGCUGCAGUCGAGAAUCUUCCGCAAUGGGCGCAAGCCUGACGGAGCGAUGUCGCGUGAUUGAUGAAGUCCUUCGGGAUGUAAAGGUCUUUUAUGAGGGAGAAAGUUAUUGAUAGUACCUCAUGAAUAAGGGGUUGCUAAACUCGUGCCAGCAGCAGCGGUAAUACGAGUGCCCCAAGCGUUAUCCGGAAUUAUUGGGUGUAAAGGGUGUGUAGGAGGUUGUAUUAGUCGUAUGUCAAAACUCUGGGCUUAACCUAGAAUCUGCACGCGAAACGGUACAACUAGAGGACGCGAGAGAUGUGUAGAACUCAUAGUGUAGGGGUGAAAUCCGUUGAUAUUAUGGGGAAUACCAAAAGCGAAGGCAGCACAUUGGCGCGCUCCUGACUCUGAAACACGAAAGCGUGGGUAGCGAAUGAGAUUAGAUACCUCAGUAGUCCACGCCCUAAACGAUGUUCAUUUGCUUUUCGGAGUAUCGACCCUCUGAGAGGCGUAGCUAACGCGUUA